CGCGGGAAAUCUUACCGGGUCCGGACACACUGAGGAUUGACAGGUUCCGAGAGUUUUUGCUUCGGCAAUGCUCUCUUAAAUAUGAUAGUCCUUUCAUGAUUAUGUGAUAGGUGGUGCAUGGCCGUUCUUAGUUCGUGGAGUGAUCUGUCUGCUUAAUUGCGUUUCACUAAAGGCGUCAUAUCUGUUUUGUUGCGUGUUUGACCCCUCUUCGGAGCGCGUGUCUUCACGCACAAUUACUUUGGCGUCUGAAAGCAACGAACGUGACCGUAACCUCUUGUUGCCUUCUCUUCUCCUCGGAGAAUGCUGUUUGUUUUUGCAGGCAGUAUAUGGAGGCUUUUUUACUCAACAACUAGAGGGACCGCUGUUUCUUUCUUUAAACCAGAGGAAGGAUACGGCAAUAACAGGUCUGUGAUGCC
This 416-nucleotide ribosomal RNA is filed under the name Elphidium oceanense. RNAcentral's name for it is "SSU rRNA". It matches the Rfam family "Eukaryotic small subunit ribosomal RNA", at positions 1204 to 1471 of the family's 1831-position model. The record is from RNAcentral. Lineage: Eukaryota; Foraminifera; Rotaliida; Elphidiidae.